AAUAUUGCACAAUGGGCGCAAGCCUGAUGCAGCCAUGCCGCGUGUGUGAAGAAGGCCUUCGGGUUGUAAAGCACUUUCAGCGGGGAGGAAGGCGGUGAGGUUAAUAACCUCACCGAUUGACGUUACCCGCAGAAGAAGCACCGGCUAACUCCGUGCCAGCAGCCGCGGUAAUACGGAGGGUGCAAGCGUUAAUCGGAAUUACUGGGCGUAAA
Molecule: ribosomal RNA, 212 nt
Filed under: Klebsiella pneumoniae
Lineage: Bacteria; Pseudomonadati; Pseudomonadota; Gammaproteobacteria; Enterobacterales; Enterobacteriaceae
Description: partial 16S ribosomal RNA
Rfam family: Bacterial small subunit ribosomal RNA
Source: RNAcentral